This 211-nucleotide long non-coding RNA is filed under the name Nicotiana benthamiana. RNAcentral describes it as "long non-coding RNA (NBEN_LNC015148)". The record is from RNAcentral. Lineage: Eukaryota; Viridiplantae; Streptophyta; Magnoliopsida; Solanales; Solanaceae.
CUAUGAGUAGUGUGAAGUGCAGGAAGGAGAGGAAAGUUGGUAGUUCAAAGGGUUUACAAAAGAGUAAGUUGGAGAGUUGCACACACGGGUAAUGGUAAAGGGGACAAAUAUAUCACAUGCAAACUCACAAACCAAAAGUUUUAAGAGACCUUUCAUAGUCGGAUUUAGACACAGAGUAAGUAGCAACAAAAUUCAAUCGUGAUAGUUGAAC